CCCCAGCCUUUCCUGGCACUUUGUACCCGAAUGAGUACUCACCUGCUAUUCCAGGCCCUGUGCACAAGGUCUGACACAGGCUAGAAGCCUGUUCAUUGAACAUUCCCCACCCAGAGCAUCCACGGCUCACAAUCGCCCACCUCUUUUCAUUUUUAAUUCUCACAAAAAUGGACGUUUUACUGCUCCUCCUGGAUGUCACUUAAAAACCUGGAUUUGCCUUUUGCCCGCUGCCAGGAUAAAGAACAGCAUCUGAGCUUCUCCUGUGGAAAAGCUCCUGACCAGGAAAGCAGUCAGAGGGCGCCCUCUGCCGGUGGACCUGUGACCCGCUCUAACGUAGGCAACUGCAAACCUAACCCAAGAGUACGAACGGUAGAAUCUCUGCCUCUGGGUUUCUGCUCAGCAGUGAGAGGAGCUUGGAAACUGCCCAGCCAGAGUGGAACGAAGAUCACGAAAUUAAAUGGGCUGCUCGCGGUUGCCUGAAGGUCUAGAAAAUCCCUGUGCUUCGGGUCGAAAUUCACCCUGGAAAGAGUCCUGAGUACAGGCGCACAGAAAGCACAGAUGUCGGGAAGAAUUUAUGGGUGGUACCCCCAGGACGCCAACGGGCUACUUGGGGUUUACUAUACUGCUUUUCUGUGAACUUAAAAAACGCAUAGCUGUUUGCCUAAGUUGCUAUACCCUCUGGGAGGCAAGCAUGAGUAUAUUGGCAGGAAUCACUGUGCGUUCUGAACCCUUAGCUGCGAUGCGAACUUAGUUCAUUCGGUGCAGCCGGGUUCCUGGAAGCGCCACCUCACACUCCGCAACCCGCCCGGGUGUUUGCAAAAUGUGUUAUCCGGAUCCUUAUAUUCUCUGUCUCAAGUGCCUAAGACUCAAAAACCAGACCAAACUAUACCGCCCGAGUGGAGAAAGUGUGGGAUAUGACACUAGAGGGAGGUACCAAAAUUGGUAGGAAUAACAGACAUCCCAGACCUCUGUUUCCAGCGUUUUGUUCAGUGUCUGGG
Long non-coding RNA from Mus spicilegus (steppe mouse), 998 nucleotides. Lineage: Eukaryota; Metazoa; Chordata; Mammalia; Rodentia; Muridae. The record is from Ensembl.